Canis lupus familiaris (dog) is the source of this 468-nucleotide long non-coding RNA. RefSeq lists it as uncharacterized. The transcript is spliced from 3 exons. The record is from RefSeq and is a predicted model, not a curated record. Lineage: Eukaryota; Metazoa; Chordata; Mammalia; Carnivora; Canidae.
CACACAUCCGUUGAAAGUGGUGACACUGGAGCCGAGCUGUGAAGGCCGAGUAGGAACUAACCACGCAGGUCCAGUUAAUAUCUACAGAUGAAAGGCAAUCUAAUACUAUUACUCAGAAGAUAAAACCACGGAUGAGACCCGGACCAGCUAGGUCUCCUGCCACUUGCUGAGCCCCCGCCUCCUGCCGCCUGGAUCAUGAUCAGUCUCCUAACUGGACUCCCUCCCUGCCUUUCAGCCUUUCCAGCUGGGAGCUUCCCUUUGCCACUAUGCUCUCUGUGAAGCACACAUCUGAUCAGCCAGUCAUUCUAAUCAUGUUAGUGCUUAGCAUGGACAAGGCAACAUAUCCGCGUGCUCUGGGGAGCUAGCCGAGUGAACCAGAUGUGGAUCCUGCCCCCACCAUGUUUGCAAUCUGCCACGGAAGAUAACUACACAAAGAAAUAACCAUAUUGCGGGGAUCCCUGGGGGGCU